GUUAGGUAAUUUUUUUUGUUUUACAGGUUGGACUCUGGAUUAGCAGGUAAAUUAAAUUAAACUGUUCUAUAUUUAUUGACCUACUUUUGCAGGUAAGUGGCUUUCCUAAUACAUUUGAUAGCCUGAUUUACCUACCCCACCAUCCUAAUCUGUUUUAAAGUAUGCUUUAGUCUGGGCUCCUUUGUUUUACAGGUUAGGCCCUGAUGUAAGCAAGGCUAGCAGUGGAGUGAGAUAAACUUGGACUACUAAAGCUUGUAAUAUGUUAAUACAUGAAUAGGCAUGCAUAGAUAGUAGUGAUUACUGCUGAUGCUUGUGAUGUGUGUAUGAGUGGAUUAUCUGAGAAUUCAGUUUGUUUUCAUUUUUUCAUCCUUGGCACUUGUUUUACAGGUUGGAUUCUGAUGUGCAUAAGGACAGAAGCAAAAGGUAGGCAGCCUGGAAUUGCUGGAACCAGAUAUUUUUGUUUUACAGGUGGAGACCUCGUAUUUAAAAGGCUAGGAGUGGAGGCAGGUAACUUAGGACUGCUGAAGUUUUUGAUAGUUGCCCCGGCUAAAGAAUCACUAUUACUCACCUAUUUGUUUUUACUGGUUUACCUGGUUUGGGAAGGAUCUAGCCGCUAUGGUGCUUCAUCUUUUAUUUUUUUUAUUUUAGUAACUAUGAGUGGAUGCACAAAUGCCAUUUGGCACUAUCAUUCUUUAGCCUGGGCAUAUUUGUUUUAUAGUUUAAUCCUGCUGUAGGAAAGGAGGCAGAAACAGAUGACCUGGCACUGAUGAAUCUUGUGAGCAGAAGAAAAUGUACAUGAAUAAUGAAGAUUUCUGUUUGGGAAACAUCUAGACACUUAGGAACUUCAGCCAUGGCUGGGUUGCCUCCUGUCCUACACCAGUACCCAAAGGCAGGUGACCUGGGAUUGCUGAAGCUUGCGGUUAACAAGUGAGCAGAGGAGAAGGUAUGCUUGAACAAUGAUAGUGAUUGUUUUUCCUAGUUUGUUUUACAGCUGUCCUUGGUUUUUGCAUUGUCUAGCUGCUGUGCUACCCCAGCCUUGGCAGAGGCCGGUUUACUUGGUAGGUAUGAGUGGUUGGGCUAACUCAGUUUGGCAUUAUCAUUCUUCAUCAUGGACAUCUUUGUUUUAUAGGUUGGGACCAUUUUCCUUAAAUGGAACAAGCAAGGCAUGGCAGCAGAUAACGGUACUGCUGAAGCUUAUGAUAGAACAAUGGGUACAUUUAGAACAGUGUACAUUUAAUUUUACAGGACUUCUAUCCACGGUGACACUUCAGUCAUGACAGGGUCACUUGGAAUCCUGUUUCUUUUAGUAGGUAUAUGAGUUGAUGGGGAAAUGUAGUUUUUUUUUUUUUUUCUUUUAUCUGGGCAUCUUUUGUUUUACAGACUGGCACAUUAUGUGGAAAAGGCGGAGAUUGGCUAGUGUGGUUAGGAGUGGUGGCAGGUAACUUUUUACUACUGAAGCUUGUGAAGGUGAGUAAAGGAUUCUGUGUGGGCUGUGUGAGCAUAUAUUUGUUUUUCCAGUUUUUCCUAUUUGGCAUACCACUAGACACUGUAAUACUUAAGCUAUGGCUGGGUAAUUGAAAUCCUAUCUCUUUUGGUAAGUUAUGAGUGGAUGAUUGGCAAAAACAAUAUUUCCAUUUUCUCAGCCUGGGCAUCUUUGUUUUUACUGCUUGGAUCCAAAUGUGUGAAAGAAUAGGCACUAGAGGCAGGUGACCUGAGACUGCUGGAACCUGAGAUUUAAUAGGUGAGUAGAAGAAUAAGUCACUUAGAUAAUAGUGAUUCUUCAGCCCGGACAUCUUUGUUUUGCAGGUUAGGACCUUGUGUUUUAAAAGGAUAGGAGUGGAGAGAGGUAAUGUAGGACUACUAGAGCUUAUACUAGGUAAGUAAAGAAAUAGAUGUGUAUAUCAAAUAGUGAUUCUUUAGCCUGGGCUACCAUUUGUUUUUACAGGUGUACCUAAUUUGGGAAGGAUCUAGUCACUGUGGUACUUCAGCCGAGUAACUUGGAAUCCUGUUUCUUUUGGUAGGUAUGAGGAUGGCCUAAUUCAGUUUGGCACUACUGUUCUUUCCUACAUCUGGACCCAACCUGUUAAACAAAAAAUGUCCAUGCUGAAGAAGGCAGAGGCAGGUUACUUACCAUUGCUAAAGUUUACGACUGGUGAGUAGAAAAAUGUUGACAGGGGUUACUUGGAAUCCUUUGUUUUGGUAAGUAUGAGUAAAUGCACAAAUGCAAUUUUGGCAUUAUCAUUCUUUAGCCUUGGCAUCUUUCUUUUUAUAGGUUGGGUCCUGGUGUAGGAAUGGAGGCAGAGGCAGGUGACUGCUGAAGCUUGUGGACAACUGCAAGGACAACUCUAGUCUAGAUUGGGGACAUUGUGUGGAAAAGGCUAAAAGCAGAGAAGGGUAACUUGGGACUGCUAAAGCUUAUGAUAGGUUGGGUCCUGGUGUAGGAAAGGAGGCAGAGGCAGGUGACUGCUGAAGCUUGUGGACAACUGCAAGGACAACUCUGGUCUAGAUUGGGGACAUUGUGUGGAAAAGGCUAAAAGCAGAGAAGGGUAACUUGGGACUGCUAAAGCUUAUGAUAGGUAAGUAGUAGUAUAAAUAUGCUACAAUGAGAAUACUAAUUCUUUAGUCUGGGUAACCAUUGUCUUUUAUUUUUUUAACCGACAUCCAACCACUGUAUUGCUUCAGUCUUGGCAGGGUUACAUAAUAUCCUGUUUCUUUUGUUUGGUAUGUAAGUGUAGAUAAAUUGUGGACGGAGCACAGGAACAUCCUUCCAUAAAAUAUCACUUUUAUUCAAACGAUUAAAACCAUCAUGGAGUUAGGCACCCACAGCUUUACGUGUUUCAUGGCUUCUCGCCACUUCAUCAGAAGCUACAAAAGAUUUAGGGCUGACGGCAGAUUACUUUGGACGGAUGGAGCUUGUUAUUUAAUAGGUAAGUGGAAAAAUAGGUGUGCUAAGAAACAUUUUAUUCAGCAUGUGCAUCUUUGUGUUACAGGUUUUCCUGGAUUGGGUGAUGUCUAACCACCUUGGUUUUUCAGCUGUUGGAGUUCAUUUGGAGUCUUAUUUCUUGUUGGUAGGUAUGGAUGGACAAAUUCAGUUUGUUUUUGUAUUUUUCAGCAUGGACAUCUUUGUUUUACAGAUUUGAACUCUGCAUCUAUUCCAUGACUUCAAGACGGAUAACAUUGGGCUUCUGAACCAUGCAAACAGAUGAGUAGGAAAAAGAGUGAAUGAAAAACGGAGUGAUUCUUUUAACUAGGCAUUGAUUUGUUUUUACAGGAGACACCUAGCCACUGUGGUGCAUCGGCCUUGGAAUUUUUGGGGGGAUUUUUUUUUCUUUUAGUAAGUAUAUGAGUGGAUAAUAGGCAAAUUCAGUUUUUGUAUUCUUUUUUUCAGCCUGGCCAUGUUUGUUUUUAUAGGUUGGAACCUUGUGUAUAAAAGGCUAGGAGUGGAGGUAGGUAAUUUAUAACUAUUGCAUCUUAUGAUCGGUAGGUAAAGAAAUAGAUGUGCAUGUAUUAUAAUGAUUCUUCAGCAACCAUUUUUUUUUUUUAACAGUACCUAGUUCAGGAAGGUACUGUACAUUUUGGCAUUAUCAUUCUUUAGUCUGGGCAUCUUUAUUUAUAGGUUGGUUCCUGGUAUAGGAAAGGAGGCAGAGGCAGAUGACCUUGGACUGCUGAAGCUUGUGGUCAACAGGUGAGCAGAGGAAAAAGUAUAAAUGAAUUAAGAUAAUGGAAUAAAAACAAAAUCUCUAUUUGUUUCUACAGGUGUUCCUAUUUUUGGCAUUGUCUAGCCACUGUUGUACCACAGCCAUGGCAGUGGCGGGCUUAUUUGGAAUCCUGUUUCUUUUGGUAGGUAUGAGUGGAUGGGCUAAUUUAGUUUGUCAUUAUUAUUCAGCAAAGACAUCUUUGUUUUCCAGAUUGGGACAUUGUGUGGAAAUGGCUGGCAGUAGAGGCAGGUAAUUUAGGACUGCAGAAGCUUAUAAUAGGUGAGUAGAAGAAUUGAUGUGCAUGGAUUAUAAUUUGUCAGCCUUGAGUUUCUCUUUACAGGUUGGCACAUUGUGUUUUAAAAGGCUAGGAGUAGAGAAAGGUAACUUGGGAUUGCAGAAGCAUAUGCUAGGUAAAUCGAAUAAUAAAUGUGCAUGGAUAAUAUGAAUUAUUUAGCCUGGCAUCCAUUUUGUUUUUACAGACAUCCAGCCACUGUGGUGCUUCUGUCUUGGCGGGGGUGCCUGGUAUCCAGUUUCUUUUACUGGGUAGUUUUAUUUUCAAUCUUCAGCUCUGGCAUCCAUGUUUUUAAAGGUUGGGUCUUGGUGUAAGAAAGGAUUGGAGAUGAUGGCAGGUGAUCUGGGACUGCUGGUAAGUGGAAGAAUAGGUGUGCUAAGAAAAAUGUCUCUUCAGUAUGUGCGUCUUUGUUUUACAGGUUUUCCUGGACCAGGAGAGGUCUAGCCACCAUGGAUUUUAAGCCUUUGCAGUUUAUUUUGAAACUUUUUUUCUUGUGGAUUGGCCCAAGUUUGGGAAAAGUCUAUCCAUAAAGGGCACUUCAGCUUUGUCAAAUUUGGGACGUUUCCAUUUGGGACCUGGUUUGGGAAACGUCUAAGCCGUACAGCCAUUUUCUUCUUUGAUGCCCUACCAACUCAGCACCCAAGGCAACAACUCUUUCCUGCUCCAAACACAUUAAGUGGAAGAAUAACUGGACUGGAUUUUUACUGUGCCAUGAUGUGUCCAUUUGGAUUUAAUAUUUGUAUUAGGAUUGUAAAAUGUUUUUUUUAUUUAAUGUGUUUUGAUUAACUUUCAAGUAAAUGUAUUUUCUUUCUUUUUCUUUGGUCUGGGGUAUAUUUGAUGAAUUGUGCAAGUUAGCUCCUUCUCCAGCAAGCAAUAGGCACUACACAUUUUACUAGUUAUAGGAUGGUGACUGGCUUCAGAUUGCACAGAUUUUCCCCAAGGAACAAUUCUUAAACAAAUCUAAGAAAAGGCAGUUUUUUCAAUGCCAACGUUGCUUCCAGCAGCAAGGUGAGUCUGACUACUGUUGGCCAUUACAGGAUAUAUCCAUAAGUCAAAAGGAUUCCUAGAAUAUUGAUUAACUUUAAAACUAACAUCAUCCAUGCUAUAAGUUUACUUCUGGGUUUAAUAGUCACAUUCACUAGUAAACCCCUGUGGGAAAGUUAAAAAAAACACUGCUACAGUCAUAUUGUGACAAUAUGGCCCAUAGAGUUUACUCUUUAAGCAGAGUCCAUAAAAAGCAUUUACUAAUAGUUUUAAUGAGAAUCUUAGGAUGCCUCCUGCUUAUGUGAACGCACAUUAGUUACUAUGGGUUACUGCUCCAGCACAAACAUGUUAAAAACAAUCAUGAAUUAUACCAGUUGCUUAAGCAAUUUUUACUUCCUUUUCAUAAUUGCCUCUGGUUUUACAAGUUACUCUUUACCACUUUAGCCUACAACAUUAGAUGAUAUGAGAUGUUCCCUUUUUAUGUGAUCCAUGGUGAAAUGGUUGUUCAAAAAUAAUCUUGUUGGCUCAUUGGUUCCGGUUCUGUUAUUUAAAAGUACAAUAAAUAAAUUGUCUUAAAA
This is a long non-coding RNA of Xenopus tropicalis (tropical clawed frog), 5552 nucleotides long. RefSeq lists it as uncharacterized. The transcript has 7 exons. The record is from RefSeq and is a predicted model, not a curated record. NCBI's taxonomy places the organism in Eukaryota, Metazoa, Chordata, Amphibia, Anura, Pipidae.